UCCCGUUUGAAGUGGUGACUAAAUGGAGUCAAAUUGUCCUAAUUAUACUCACAAUGAACAAAAGGAUCAUGGCACCAAUUUAAUUGAAAAAACUAAUAAUAAUGAAAAUUCACCUCAAUAUGUCAAACGUAAAUAAAUUUAAGAAUAUUUAAAAAUUACAAAUUGAACAUACUCAAAAGUAACAUAAUUAGCUAUUAAAGAAAAGAAACAAUCAUAAUAAAGAGAGUCAAAAUUCAUCAGGGACUGAAUUGCAAAAACUGAAAAACUUUUGGGGACAAAAAUUAUAUUUUUCCAAAGUUUAGAGGUCAAAAUUAAAUGAAAGAUAGAAUUCAAGGACCAAAAUGCAAUUAAUUUAAGGACCUAAGUGAAACAAAUUUAAAAUAUUCUGGGCCGAAGUGAAACUACUCCAAAGAUCAGGGGCCAAAGUGAAAAUCGUAACCAGAUCUGGGCAAGAACAAGGGCAUCGGGCCGCUCUUUUUAUUUUACUUGGGCCAAACCUACCUAAGCCCAACUGAAAAACCAAGCUAAAACACCAGGCCAGCCCGUCUUUUUAUCCCUCAAGCCCAGCCAAAAAACACAUGGGCUCCAAGCUCCUAGCCCAACUGAAACCCAAAAGAAAACAUAAACCAAAGCCCAGCCCCAAAACCUAACAAAACUAGCUCUUGGCCCAACCGAAAAAUAAACAUUAGCCCAAUCCCCUUUUUUCUUUUCUUUUCUUUUUCUUCUUCUUCUACCCUUCCGGUUCUUCUUUUCCUUGCCUGGCCGGCUGAAGCUCCUCGCCACCGCCAACCAUGGCUGACAUGGCGGCUGCCGGCGCCGCCACCGCCGGUCGCCGGCCAUUUUUCCGAUCACAAAAUUUCACCAAAAUACACCCCCUCACUCGAUUUUUCGCGUAGGUUCCAUUUCCGGAGUUAGUUUUUACAAAAAGUGAGCCGAAAGUGGUCAAAAUGCCAAGAAAUCAGUUCAGUUUUUAUUUUUUCAAAACACCAUAUCUUUCAUCAAAAAUCAUGAAAAUUAUACUACAACACUCUUACAACUCCUACAAUACAAAUAUGAUUUUAUUUUGACAAGAAAAACAACAUAAAAGGACUAAAAUAAAUCAAAACAGUCCCCUAAGAUUCUUUCUUUUCAUUUUGGUAUUUUUUCAAACGGUUAACAUGCAUGCAUAAAAAACAUUUCCUUUUCCUCAAUCUAGUUCAUGCCAUUUCCCAAUUUUCAGCAAUACAACAACAACAAUAAAAACCAGCAAAAGCAAGAUAAAUUAAAAUCAAAAUGCAUCUAAUAUGCUUAAAAAAAAAACUGGAAAAUACCUCAAUGAAAGUGGAAUUGCCUUGGCUGAAGUUUUUUUUUGAUGCCUUUCUUUCUUUUUUCGGUAGAGAGCCAAGAGAGAGAGCCGAGAGCCUCCCUUCUUUUUUCCUUGUUUCUGUUUUUGUUUCUUGUCCUCCGUCUGUGAGAGCCGAGAGAGUAGAUUGAGGAAGUAGUUUUUUUCUUUUUUUUUUCUUCUUCUUUUCGGUCCAGCCCAGAGAGAGCCGAGAGCCUUUUUUUUUGUGUCAUUUUUUUUCUCCUUUUUUUCAAGAGAGAGCCCAGAGGGAUGGAGAUUUUCUUUUUUUUUUUCUUUUUGGCUUCCCUGUUGUGUCCUCUGGGAGAGAGCUGAGAGAGGAGAUCGAGGAAGUAAAAGGUGGGGAGUUUUGUGUGUUGGAUUGCCCAAAAUGAUGGUUUCUGCGGAUGAAAAGAAAGGUCCUUGGCAAUUGAGUGUGAAAUGGGUUAAAUGUAU
RNAcentral lists this long non-coding RNA (1774 nucleotides) under Coffea arabica (coffee). RNAcentral describes it as "long non-coding RNA (CARA_LNC002644)". Lineage: Eukaryota; Viridiplantae; Streptophyta; Magnoliopsida; Gentianales; Rubiaceae. The record is from RNAcentral.